This is a long non-coding RNA of Gasterosteus aculeatus aculeatus (three-spined stickleback), 853 nucleotides long. NCBI's taxonomy places the organism in Eukaryota, Metazoa, Chordata, Actinopteri, Perciformes, Gasterosteidae. The record is from Ensembl.
CGAGUCAUUACUUUCUUUGAAAUUGCAAGCGAAUACAUUUGAAAGUAGACAAUUUGCAUACUUCAAAAAGAAAAAUCUUGGGAAAUCUGGUCACUUUUGUUCCCGUUACCCAUUUUGAUUCCUAAAUAAUCACCAUCAUCGAAACCCAAGACAAAUUGCAGGAAACAAUUGAUUUGGAGUGUGAUCUUAUAUUAUGCAAACUCCUUUUAUGCAUAUUUUGUUUACUGGACUGGAUCAGUAGAGAAUUGACAGAAUAAACAACAAUCGUUUUCUUGUAUAGUUUGUAAGAGGCGGGAACCAGUAAUCCAGCUGGUGGUAUCUUUCACAACCCAGUGGUUUCCACUGAGCACGUUUUUUUUCUUCUUCUUUCUUUUUACUUUGCUGCAUUUGUUCUUCAGAGAUUGUGAAGGUCUUAAUGGGUCAAUGUGUGUUUUAUUCGUAUUACUUCAACUUCCACUAAGCACAAUAUGACCAGAAUACUCACCAGGCAGUGAUUGUACAGCUGCUGUCUCACGGCUCAGCACAUUGAAAGUUCAAAGGUUACCUGAGAUUGGAUGCUGACAAGAUGCGUCCGAACAAGGUGAGGUGACCUCGAGCGGGACGUCGGAUCCAAUCAUUCAGAAUACAGGAUCAAAAUACAUUUUGGGAUAGUUUUGUGAACGUUGAAGGAAAUUCAACAUCUUCUGCCAGGGUUUAACAAACAAAACCAUAGAAUAAAGAUGUGAACAAAUACAAACAAUUGACUAAUUAUUACAUGUAAAAGAAGUAAUAAUGACCCGUUUGUAAAAUACAAUAGAAUUGCAUUAAGAGUAAAGCAAAAAGUCGGGAAAGGCAAGGAGAGCACUAAACAGCC